Molecule: ribosomal RNA, 302 nt
Filed under: uncultured bacterium
Lineage: Bacteria
Description: partial 16S ribosomal RNA
Rfam family: Bacterial small subunit ribosomal RNA
Source: RNAcentral
GCAGCAGCCACGGUAAUACAGAGGGUGCGAGCGUUAAUCGGAUUUACUGGGCGUAAAGCGUGCGUAGGCGGCUUCUUAAGUCGGAUGUGAAAUCCCUGAGCUUAACUUAGGAAUUGCAUUCGAUACUGGGAAGCUAGAGUAUGGGAGAGGAUGGUAGAAUUCCAGGUGUAGCGGUGAAAUGCGUAGAGAUCUGGAGGAAUACCGAUGGCGAAGGCAGCCAUCUGGCCUAAUACUGACGCUGAGGUACGAAAGCAUGGGGAGCAAACAGGAUUAGAUACCCCGGUAGUCCCUGUCUCUUAUAA